GAUGAACGCUGGCGGCGUGCCUAAUACAUGCAAGUCGAGCGAACGGACGAGAAGCUUGCUUCUCUGAUGUUAGCGGCGGACGGGUGAGUAACACGUGGAUAACCUACCUAUAAGACUGGGAUAACUUCGGGAAACCGGAGCUAAUACCGGAUAAUAUUUUGAACCGCAUGGUUCAAAAGUGAAAGACGGUCUUGCUGUCACUUAUAGAUGGAUCCGCGCUGCAUUAGCUAGUUGGUAAGGUAACGGCUUACCAAGGCAACGAUGCAUAGCCGACCUGAGAGGUGGAGGGGCAACAGGGGAGGUGGACACGGGUCAAGCCCCCGCGGGGAGGCGGAAGGGGGGAUUCUUCCGAAAGGGGGGAAGGCCGGACGGAGAAACGCGGGGGGAGUGAGGAAGGUCUUCGUAUCUAAAAAUUUUUUUAUUGGGAAAGAAAAUAUGGUAAAGAAAUUGUGAACUUCUGGAGGGAACCUAAUAAGAAAGCCACGGCUAACUAGGGG
Molecule: ribosomal RNA, 497 nt
Filed under: uncultured bacterium
Lineage: Bacteria
Description: partial 16S ribosomal RNA
Rfam family: Bacterial small subunit ribosomal RNA
Source: RNAcentral